RNAcentral lists this long non-coding RNA (399 nucleotides) under Vigna radiata. RNAcentral's name for it is "long non-coding RNA (VRAD_LNC017990)". The record is from RNAcentral. Lineage: Eukaryota; Viridiplantae; Streptophyta; Magnoliopsida; Fabales; Fabaceae.
CGAUGACAGACCGUGAAAGUGGAAGAUCAUAAUGAGCUCUUAUUCAUCAAAGCACCCAAAAACAAAUCUGACAGAUUUGACAAAGGGUUGGUGAAAUUGUUUCAACCCAUAAUUUUAGUGUUGAAAUUUCUUGGUGUUAACCACUAACUGUCCUUGAAGACCUUUCAGAAUAGAGAAGAAGAUAGCGGGAGCAGUAGAGGUAGGACUAGGUGUUGGUGCAUCAGUGGCACAAGUGGCGGAGACGACGCCCGGAGAUGGUAGCCAGAGACGACGGCCAGAGACAGUGGUCGAAGACGACGGCCGGAGACGGUGGCCGGAGACGACGGUUGGAGACGGUGGCCGGAGAUGACGACCGGACAUAGUGGUCGGAGACGGUGGCUGGAGACGGUGGCCGGAGAC